CUCAAUUCCAUCGGCUCCCCCAAUUCCAAAUGAGGUUUUAAAUGAUGGGCCAAUCCACUAUCCAAUAGUUGAUUUUAGUCCAGUGGAUUCAUUUGUUCCACCUGUAGAGCAUGGAACUUCUGUAACAAGUGAUGUGAAGGAUGGAGCUGGCUCUUCAUCAUGUAUAAUAUGUUGGGAAUCUCCCAUAGAAGGUGCAUGCAUUCCUUGUGGUCACAUGGCUGGUUGCAUGGCUUGUUUGAGCGAGAUCAAAGCCAAGAAAGGUGUUUGCCCUGUUUGCAGAGCAAAAAUAAGCCAAGUUAUAAGGCUAUAUGCUGUCUGAAAAGUGGACAUGAUUAUACUGG
Molecule: unclassified non-coding RNA, 341 nt
Filed under: Hevea brasiliensis (rubber tree)
Lineage: Eukaryota; Viridiplantae; Streptophyta; Magnoliopsida; Malpighiales; Euphorbiaceae
Source: RNAcentral